CCUACGGGUGGCUGCAGUGGGGAAUAUUGCACAAUGGGGGAAACCCUGAUGCAGCGACGCCGCGUGAGUGAAGAAGUAUUUCGGUAUGUAAAGCUCUAUCAGUAGGGAAGAAAUAUCGAGCUGUGGGUCGCCAGAGUGUACAUGAUAAAGAAGCCGCGGCUAACUACGUGCCAGCAGCCGCGGGAAUACGUAGGGGGCAAGUGUUAUCCGGAGUUAGUGGGUGUAAAGGGAGCGUAGACGGCAGGUCAAGUAUGAAGUGAAAUGUCGGGGCUUAACCCCGGAGGGGCAUUGGAAAUUGGGAAGCUAGAGUGCAGGAGAGGUAAGUGGAAUUCCGAGUGUAGCGGUGAAAUGCGUAGAGAUUAGGAGGAACACCAGUGGCGAAGGCGGCUUACUGGACUGUAACUGACAUUGAGGCUCGAAAGCGUGGGGAGCAAACAGGAUUAGAUACCCUUGUAGUC
Molecule: ribosomal RNA, 458 nt
Filed under: uncultured bacterium
Lineage: Bacteria
Description: partial 16S ribosomal RNA
Rfam family: Bacterial small subunit ribosomal RNA
Source: RNAcentral